RNAcentral lists this ribosomal RNA (241 nucleotides) under uncultured bacterium. RNAcentral's name for it is "partial 16S ribosomal RNA". It matches the Rfam family "Bacterial small subunit ribosomal RNA", at positions 104 to 339 of the family's 1533-position model. The record is from RNAcentral.
GGGUGAGGAACACGUAAGAAACCUGCCUUUAAGACGAGGAUAACUAUUGGAAACGAUAGCUAAUACUGGAUAGGAUAUUUGAUCGCAUGAUCGAAUAUUUAAAGGAGCUCAUGGCUCCACUUAGAGAUGGUCUUGCGUUGCAUUAGCUAGUUGGUAGGGUAACGGCCUACCAAGGCGACGAUGCAUAGCUGGUCUGAGAGGAUGAACAGCCACACUGGGACUGAGACACGGCCCAGACUCC